UCUGAAUGUCUGUCUGACUGUCCGUGUCUGCGCCAGUCCCUCUCCUGUGGGAGAAAGACAGACCAGUGAGGUCAGAGUCUCUGGGUGUCACCACAGGUCACCAGAAUUGCCAAUCUUCCAGAUCCCCCCAGCCAGGGCUGAAGGUGGAGGUUCCCAGGGGAAUAGUUGGGUAGGCUUGGCCUCCACCUCUUCCUCCCAUCCUUCCUGGGCCCUUCCUGCCUGGUCUGCACUCCUGGGGCAAGACCAGAAUCAGCCUGCUAAUUAUCAGAAGGAUUAAUACUUGGAGCUGUUCUCAUUUGAGGCAAAGACAAAUCAUUUUUUCCCACUGCUAUGAAGAGGAGAUAUGUUAGGGUGAGCCUCCUCAUAACUGGGUAAGCAUGAGCCUCUUUAAAACCUUUUUUCCCAAAAAAGAAUUCUUUGAUAAAUAGGGGAUAUUUUUGUGACAAUGGCUCUGGCUAAGCAAGCUCUGUCCUGGGGUCAGAGGUCAUCUUGUCCAGUCCACCUUUUCAGGAGCCUCGGAUCAUUCUCCCCUGUGUCCCCUCCCUGGCUGGUUACCCCAGCACCCUUGGUGGCAGGGAGAUGCUGGCAGGGCAGAUCUGGCUGCAGCGAAGGACAUGGGCUAUACGGGUGGCAAGCACAAUGGGUCUACAUUUUCCUUUCAUGUUCCUGAAAGCAGCUCCCUAUACAAUUCCUCAGCAUGUACAGUAAACACUUGAACACGGUAACUGCCAUGCAUCUGAGAGAGCCACCUCUGGCCCCGGGCUCAUUCUUCCUCAAACAGCAGGACACUGCAGAAAUGGCCUUUGGUAUCAGAUGAAGCUGGUAUGCUUCUAGGCUUUGCUGCUUCCUAGCAGGUGCCUUCACCUCUCUGAGUUUUUACCUAUUGUGUAAAGCGGGGCCAGUAAUGGCACUGCCCAGGAGGGCUAUUGGGAGGAUUAGGGCAAGAGAGCCUAUAAAGGCAGCCCUGGUGCACAGUUAUCCCUCGAAAGAGGUUAGUGUCAGCCCCAGACCACUCACUCCGUCAUUACCAGUCCUCCCUGUUAGAUUCUGUACUCUGGGGCAGGGACCAUGUCUUUCUUAUCUUUGUAUCCCCAAUGCCUGACCUAAUGUCACUCAAUGGAUCUUUGCUGGAUAAUGGAAGAAGGAAGUUGAGUCGCAAGGACUCACUGAGGCCUGGAGAGCUGUGGGCAUUCCCAGGAUCAGAGGACUCUGAAGAAGUGAAGGGGCAGGAUGUCCUGCAGAAUGCUCCGCUUUUCCUGGUCCCAUGCCUCUGUUCACCCGUUCACUGGGCCAUGGGUGGCUCUGCCUGAUCCCUCAGGUUUCUGGCCAUCGUGGGAGCCUUCCACACUGGGGGAAGGGAUGGCAGCAGGUGUGGUGAAUGUGCAAAAGGGGGUAUUAUCUCUUUAAAGGACAGUAAUUAGUAAUUCCAGCUGAUGGGUGUACUGUGCUGUUUUAAUGAAGUAUUCUAUUUUUACAGAAAACACAUAAUUGAGUGAAAAAGCAGGCUAUUCUCUGAGUUAGGUGGCCUAUGCCUCUGGAAAGUCUAACUCCUCGGCCAGGAGGCCAGAAUUGGCACACAGACAGCAUGGGGUUCUAUAGGAAGCGGACCCCAUCCUGGGCUGCCCCCAGUCGGACUCAGUGGUGAAAACCAGGGGCCACAUUUGAGGAUCCACGUUCAAAUCCCAGCUUCCCUUCUUCUAGCCAUGUGACCCCGGGCAAGUCAGGUAACUUCAAUUUUGUAUCUAUAAAAUGGGAAUGACAAGAUCUGUAUAUAUGCCUUGGGGGUUCUUAUGUGGAAAUAAAAGCCUAGCAGGGGGUUGGCAUUUCAUAAAGGGUCUGAUCCACGUCUGCCCUGUCAAUAUUUACCUAGCCCCUGUUAUCUAGUUGCUUACUUAUGCCCUCCAUGCCUCUGUUUCUUCAUCUGUAAAGUGGGAACAAUGGGAGUUUCUGUAUCUCCUAAUAUUGCUAAGGGGGUGUAAUUGAAGUGCUUAGAGCAGCGCCUGGCAGAGCAAGCACUGGGUGCACUGCUCAUGGGUUCAAGCAGACUAGGGCUGUUCAGCCCAUUAGCUGGCGUGAGUUCUAGUCCUUGCUUUGCCACUCAUCAGCUACCUGAUCUUGAGAUAUCAUCUAGCGUUCCCAUUAGUUUGUUCACCUUUAAAGUAGGAGAGCUAUAAAAACUAAAACAUAAAUCAAACACAAAUGAUAACAAAACAGGGUAAGGGGUGUGCGCACUCUGAGAGCUGUAAGAUGUCAACAUCCCCAUGUGUUCCCUUCCUUCCUUCCCAUGGUCUACUCAUCAGAUGGUCUACUUGGGUGCUGGGCGCCCAGCCACGGGCUCCCUACAGGAGGAGGGGAAAGCAGAGGACAGGCCACAGUCUCUGCCCCAGAGGUGUUUCCACACUCAGGGGAGGUUCAAACAAUACAUCUGAGACGAUUAGGAAACUAAACAGAGGAGAACCAAGCACUCGACUGAGUGGGUCAGCUUUGAGGAACUCCAUGAGGAACACUUCAGGCCAAGUGAAGCUGAGGGGUCUCUGAGAAAGCACAGCAGGGUAGGGAGGGCUGGACUGGCAGAGAAGAAAAGCCAGGAGGUGGGUGGGAGGGGCCAGCCUGACCAGGCAGAGACUCCUUCCCCAGGACAGGAUGGGGGCAUGGAGAAAGGGGGAGUAGCCCCUCUGUGUCGGAGACAGAGCACCCCUAGAGCCCCAUUCAGGCUGUCAUCACCUGGCUCUCAGGGUGUGGCCCUGCCCCUGGCCAGGAAUACCAGGCAUUUGCUGAAGGGCGCAGGUCUCCCAGACUCCUAGACUCCAUGCCUCUGGGACAGACUCCACCAGGGCAAUUAACUGAUUAAAGUCACACCGAGCUCUCUGAGGGUAUUAUUAAAGCCCUAACAGGAGCAUCUCCCUGAGAAGGAGAGGGCCACAGUCAGGUCCAGCCUUAGUACCUUCCCAUGGACGAACCCCCAGUGUGAAAGGGAUUCUUAUGGUUCCCAGCCCUGAAAACCAACGAUUUUUCCUUGGGUCUGGAGAAUUACAUUGACUCAUAUCCCCUAAUCUUUUAAGGCUUACACUGAUCUUCUACCUCCUAACGAAUUCAUUCAAUGUGACCCAACUUUGAAGCUUUAAAAAUCAACAGCCUGUAUGCUUUGCUUACUGAAUUUAGCCUCUCUGUACUUCAAACCCUGUCCUACCUGGAGUACAUGCUAUGGCUGGCUGCAUGGCAAGGCCUUCUUGUCUGUGUGGACUGAUGGCUGACCCAGUGGCCUCCAGGCCCAUUUCCCUCAGCUGCAGGCCACCUCCAGUUAACCCCAGAUAACUCUGCAAACACAAAUUCACAACCUCGAAAGAUAUGAACGCAAACCACGCAGGGCAAUUCCAUGACCAUUCGGAGGCGGAAGAACUUGCAGAAAGUCCUCAGGGAGAACAAAGGAAGGCUUCCAAGCUGGUAUAAGGCACCAAGAAGCAAACGCUUUGGUCCUGGUUUGUGAUCUCUGCUCAGUGAGCAGAACCUGAGGACCCGAAGACCACCUGUAGCCAAGAGGAGGACAGCCCUGCUUCACAGUACGAAUGCCCCUCCUGGGCCCGGGCCCCUCCAGCUAGAGAAUGGUGUGCCCUGGGCCCCAGUGCCUGUCUCUAGAACAGGUUAUAAGCAAGGAAAUCAAGGAGUCCAGGAAGCAAAGGGCUAAAACCACUUUAAAACAAAUGAAGAAUUCCUUUUGGAAAAAUAUGCAAAUAUCUCUUUCCUUUCCUCCCUCUCCUCUUCAAACAAAGCCACCCAGGUCAUCUACCCUGCUAGUCUGAGUUAAGUGGACAACUAAGGGAGACCGAGGACUCUGACUGCAGCGUCACACAGAGUGAGAUCACAGGAGGCUGCACGGAACAACCAGCGAAGGGAAAUGCUGAAUGUCAAACCAGCUUAGCAAUGAGGAACUGACCUUUGGGGAAGAGAGCCUGGUGCCAGUGAUUAUGUCUGGCUUAACACUCCCCCUCUACCACGCAGCCUGCAAGCUGAACCCCCGGCUCUUGUCCUCGGGGGGCUGUGGAAGCUAAAUAUGUUUAAUGAAUGCAGCAAAGUGAUAAACUAGGUUUAUGCUCAUACCUUUGAUUCCAGCCUCCUCACUGGAGGGUUGGUAUUUUAAGCGUCCUUUUGAUCUACUACAAGUCCCUAAUAAGAUCCAUCCAAUAAACACACUGGGUUUAAGUCAGAAAUGUUAACAGGAGCCCCAGAGGAAUGCACCACUAGAAAUAUGUCACUUGCCACUUGAGAAAAAGGUGAGGCAGGACAGGUAGAUCAGAGAGGUGCCCUUGGGGCCAGCGCUAACCUUAACUAAAUAAGGUCAAGGUCUGGCCCCAGCCAACGCCUAGUUAUCAGCUCAAACAUUUUCCAAAACAGCCUAGGUUUCCCUGGGGAGAUGGCUUUGAUGGUUUCAUUUGUUUACACACAGCGAGCUCUGGCUUGUUGAGAGGGCUGCAUUCAUUGUUCCAGUGCUGGGGAGUGCUCCCCACUUCCACACACCUUCCCCCAGGACCUUCCAAGUCCCCCUGGACCUGGGUGGGGCGGCCUACCCUGACUGACAGUGGUGGAAGGAGGCAACCUUGGAAUUGCGGAGACGGGCAGGGCAAACCAGUUGGCUCCUCUGCCACCAGCCCAGGGCCGGGGCUUUCAACACUGAUGUGGCAGGCUGCCAAGCCUGGGGUGGGGGCAGUGACUGACAGGCUGGUUAUUGGAAAGCUCCCAUCAUUAGCUCAGGAAUGUUGUUUGGUUACCAUGGUGACCUUCACUACAAGAGGCCUGACUAAAGCACAAGGAAUCUGCUACCUAAAACCAGCGCCCCAAGGAGCCCUGGGCUUCAGGAUCCAUGCUUAUCAGUAGCUGAUUCCCUCUGACCCUGCACUCCUGCCCCCCUGGGCUGGGCCUCCCAGCUGCCUCCCGUACCCACGACCAGGAGAAAAGCCUAGCAAAGGUAUCUUCAAGUUCGUAUGGGCCCUCUCGCAUUCCAGGGCCUGGCCUGGCUUAGAACCAGGUCUGAACAGGGAGGCUGCUGCCCCCACGAGGCCCUCUGCAGGCUGACCAGGACUGGCCUCAGCCAGCACAUGUGUCCAGGGCUUAGUUAGAAGCCCUCAGGAUUUCAGGAGGUUGCUCAGGGUGUCUGGUUCCCACUGUGCCAGGCUCACACUGUCCCCGUGGCCAUCGGUCUCUGCCUCAUCACGUUCCUGCCUUUUUAAACCCAAGCUCCAUUAACUAAAGGUCCUCCCACAGCACGAAAAUCAAGAUCCUCUUUGCUUUGCUUUCUAAUCCCUGAAUUCAGGAGGAUUUUCGAAAGUUCAACUCCACGAAAGCUGAAUUUUUCUCCAGGAGUCUUGAGACUGCUUGUAGGAAUUACGGCCUCUUAUGCAGCUAAAAAGCUUAAAGACCUUUCACAGAGCUUCCCUGCCUCUGCCUCCCUGCCCUCCCUUACACACAGGGCACCCUCCUCCACCUCCUGGCCCACGAGCACUGGCCCCCUUGGGUGCCAUGUUGCAGUCUGACACAGUGGGCUGCCUUCCAGACCCCACCACACGGUUAUAAACCGACCGUGAGACCUUCUCUUGCCCGAGUCUUACAAGACUUUGGAAGCUGAGGGAGGCAGAAUGGAUGUCAGUCUUCUGGCAGAUGAGAAAAUGAAGGCAAGGAAAGGAGGAGCAUGCUGCUGGAGGGGACACAGUGAUGUUUACUGGACCGGUCAUUUAAUUAACUGCCAUUGCAACAGCUGGCGCCACACAGCUUGUUCCCAAAGCAGGGAGCAGCUGGAGAAGCAGGAUGCAGUUUCCACUGAAGAGCAAUGACAUUUUUCAGUGAUCCCUGACCAGUAAUGGACUCGAUGAUAUAUCCUGCUAACCCAUGGAUUUCUGUAUUCCCGGAGUUUCAUCUGUGGGGAAUAGUACUGACUUAUUUGCAAAGA
Long non-coding RNA from Pteropus alecto (black flying fox), 5941 nucleotides. RefSeq lists it as uncharacterized. The record is from RefSeq and is a predicted model, not a curated record. Lineage: Eukaryota; Metazoa; Chordata; Mammalia; Chiroptera; Pteropodidae. The transcript has 2 exons.